This 253-nucleotide ribosomal RNA is filed under the name uncultured bacterium. RNAcentral's name for it is "partial 16S ribosomal RNA". It matches the Rfam family "Bacterial small subunit ribosomal RNA", at positions 524 to 776 of the family's 1533-position model. The record is from RNAcentral.
UACGGGGGGUGCGAGCGUUGUCCGGAAUCACUGGGCGUAAAGGGCGCGUAGGUGGCGUGAUAAGGGUGUGGUGAAAGCCCGGGGCUCAACCCCGGGUCUGCCAUGCCGACUGUCAGGCUAGAGUACUGUAGGGGCAGGCGGAAUUCCGGGUGUAGCGGUGGAAUGCGUAGAGAUCCGGAGGAAGACCGGUGGCGAAGGCGGCCUGCUGGGCCAAUACUGACGCUGAGGUGCGAAAGCGUGGGGAGCGAACAGG